RNAcentral lists this ribosomal RNA (319 nucleotides) under uncultured eukaryote. RNAcentral describes it as "partial 18S ribosomal RNA". It matches the Rfam family "Eukaryotic small subunit ribosomal RNA", at positions 1470 to 1796 of the family's 1831-position model. The record is from RNAcentral.
CCCUUUGAUGUUCUGGGCAGCACGCGCGCUACAAUGGUCUUCGCAAACGGAUGCAUUCUCGAAGGAGAAUGCCAAUCUUGGAAUCUAUGCCUUGGUCGGGACAGUUGCUUGCAAUUUUUCGACUCGAACCAGGAAUUCCUUGUAAUCGUGAUUCAUCACAUCACGAUGAAUACGUCCCUGCCCUUUGUACACACCGCCCGUCGCUCCUACCGAUCGAAGAGUUAGGUGAAUUGUUUUGAUCGAUAAGAUUUGACUAUGGUCAACUCUCGUUGUGAAAUUCUGUGAAUCUGACUGUUUAGAGGAAGGAAAAGUCGUAACA